Molecule: long non-coding RNA, 465 nt
Filed under: Mytilus galloprovincialis (Mediterranean mussel)
Lineage: Eukaryota; Metazoa; Mollusca; Bivalvia; Mytilida; Mytilidae
Source: RNAcentral
GUCCUUUCCCCCAAACGUGUCCGAUUCCCCAAAACGUGUCCACAUUGACGUCACUGAACUGCAAAACAUGUCUAGUUAAAAAAUCGCCAAGGCGUGUGAUUUGUAUAUACGACCAACGUGUCCAUUUCUCAACAAACCCCAAAACGUGUCCAUAUUAAGCGUUAUUUAGUUAUUGCUAUUUCAUUAACGUAUACUAAUUUUACCAUUUCAUUAAAAAUAUAGAUAAGACACUUUAUUAAACCGGCCGAAAAAACUGGGUAAAAGUGGGGGCGUCAUUUCGGCUAUGUCAUGUAUGUCGUAUGUAAAUUGUAAACAAACAUGUUUAGUUAAACUGUACAGUUAACGGACGAAAGUGUCCCUUUCUUUGCACAUUAAAAUUUGUAUGUUCUCUUAAAAAUAAAAACUUGUUACCUAUUUUCUCUCUAAAUAUGCAUGAAAUACUUACAACUGGACAAUACGCAAUCA